RNAcentral lists this long non-coding RNA (211 nucleotides) under Solanum tuberosum (potato). RNAcentral describes it as "long non-coding RNA (STUB_LNC005590)". Lineage: Eukaryota; Viridiplantae; Streptophyta; Magnoliopsida; Solanales; Solanaceae. The record is from RNAcentral.
CGUAAAGUAAAAUGAAGUGGUUAAUGGUGAAGGGAAGACCUAGCUAUUUGGCCAACGUAACACCAAAAGUCAAGACACUGCUCCAGACCGUGGGAAAUCUUAUAAUUAUGGCAGAACUAGAUGAUAAGAAUGAAGACCAAAUUAACUCCAUCAGAAAAGGGUAUAUAUAUAUGCAAAUCACCUAGCUAGAUAGUCAGGUUUGAGUGUAGAG